GGGUUCGUGGUCUAGUGGUUAUGACGUCUCCCUUACAAGGAGAAGGUCGGUGGUUCGAAUCCGCCCGAACCCAC
This 74-nucleotide transfer RNA is filed under the name Halarchaeum nitratireducens. RNAcentral describes it as "tRNA-Val". It matches the Rfam family "tRNA". From Rfam's summary of the family: Transfer RNA (tRNA) molecules are approximately 80 nucleotides in length. Their secondary structure includes four short double-helical elements and three loops (D, anti-codon, and T loops). Lineage: Archaea; Methanobacteriati; Methanobacteriota; Halobacteria; Halobacteriales; Halobacteriaceae. The record is from RNAcentral.